RNAcentral lists this ribosomal RNA (497 nucleotides) under uncultured bacterium. Its description in RNAcentral is "partial 16S ribosomal RNA". It matches the Rfam family "Bacterial small subunit ribosomal RNA", at positions 28 to 507 of the family's 1533-position model. The record is from RNAcentral.
GAUGAACGCUGGCGGCGUGCCUAAUACAUGCAAGUCGAGCGAACAGACGAGGAGCUUGCUCCUCUGACGUUAGCGGCGGACGGGUGAGUAACACGUGGAUAACCUACCUAUAAGACUGGGAUAACUUCGGGAAACCGGAGCUAAUACCGGAUAACAUGUUGAACCGCAUGGUUCAACGGUGAAAGACGGUCCUGCUGUCGCUUAUAGAUGGAUCCGCGCCGCAUUAGCUAGUUGGUAAGGUAACGGCUUACCAAGGCAACGAUGUGUAGCCGACCUGAGAGGGUGAUCGGCCACACUGGAACUGAGACACGGUCCAGACUCCUACGGGAGGCAGCAGUAGGGAAUCUUCCGCAAUGGGCGAAAGCCUGACGGAGCAACGCCGCGUGAGUGAAGAAGGUCUUCGGAUCGUAAAACUCUGUUAUUAGGGAAGAACAAAUGUGUAAGUAACUAUGCACGUCUUGACGGUACCUAAUCAGAAAGCCACGGCUAACUACGUG